Molecule: RNA transcript, 2144 nt
Organism: Diprion similis
Lineage: Eukaryota; Metazoa; Arthropoda; Insecta; Hymenoptera; Diprionidae
Gene name: nudC domain-containing protein 1
Exons: 5
Source: RefSeq, a predicted model, not a curated record
GCAAAUAACUGCUUGCUCCGAUGCCUGAUAUCAUAGAACUACGACCUGACAAGGGUCUUAUGUACCCCAACUUCGAAAAAUAUCAAUUUCUUGACGACCCAAUACUUAUACUAGAAAAAGAUCUGGAGAAAGAGGUGUUACGAGUUGAACCAAGUAGUUCUCAAGAUUCCUGGCUUGAAGCAAGGUCUUUUGCUUACCAUAAUCAUUUGUACAAAAAUCCAUUCAACGGCAAGUGUUAUUUUGUCAACAAAGAUAUUGAAUUAUGGAAAUUGGAUGCAAAUGGUUGUUUAGAGUUGGUACACACGCUGACCAAAAUCUCAACCGAAUCCAGUGCCCCGGUUUACAAUCCAUCCCUGAGUUUUGCUUCGGAAAACAUCAUAGUUGGCUCUAAUGGAUGUAAAAAUUUGGAAAUAAUUAUUAAGAAUGACUCAAGACCGUUAUUAACAUUCGUGUUUGACGAUAUAGAUGCUGGUAUAAUUUUAGAUUCAGUGUACGUUAAAGAUAAAUCAAUAAUCAAUAUUGUAAUGUGCUUCAUAACUGAACUUGACAGCAAGAAACAUUCUGAAGUUGUUUUGUAUACAUAUUCUUUACCAGUUAUUGAUACAGUGGGUUCAGAACCUUCAUCACUGGAUGUUAAAUUUAUUGGAAAGAGGAUCUUGAGGAUGAAAGGAGCUGUUGAGUAUGCUAAUUUAGAAUCAAACGGAAAUUAUUUACAUUUAAUGAGUCAAGACUCUGCUACCUUUGUUUACGAUUCUUUAAGAUCAGUGACAAAGGAAAUUCCAGUAGAAGGCAAUCAAGAGAUUAAUAUUCCAAAAUACUGCUGGUCUCAGGAUGAAGAUUCGCUUACCGUUUGGUUGAAAGUUUUCGAUGGCAUUGAUAAGAGUCAAAUCAAAGUUGACGUCAAGCCAAAUAAUAUUGUCAUAAAAUAUGAAGAUCAGAUAUUGAUGGCUGGGGAAAGUGGGCAUAGAUUGGAUCCAGAUUUAACAACUUGGUCACACGAGAAAGAUUCGCUAAAAAUAGAUUUAUUCAAAAAUGAGACAGGUUUAAUGUGGAAUGAAUUAAUUAAAGGAGACACUGGCGGUGAAUGCUUACCGAAUGAGGCUUUAGCAGCUGAAGUUCACAGCAGAUUAGCCUAUUUAUGCACUGAAGAGCCAGGAAUUGGAGGUGGGCAUCCGAUGUUGGGAUUCAACUCAGAGCAGCUUGAAGAAUGUGACAUUCAAGAGAAAGAAAAUCAAUUCCAAAGAAUUGAUAUCGACUCUCACAAGACUACUCAUUUAGUGAUUUUAGGUGCAAACAACCGAGUAUUGUUUACACAAAGAGUCAAACACGGCCAGGUGUUGUGUUUGAGACAUGAUCACGACGGCUGUGUUUGGGUUGCUGGUGAAAGUAAUGAUGAACAUUGGGGAUUAAAGCAUAUUUCUACAUUCCCUGGAUUUGGAUACGUUGAGGCAAGCAAGACUAACAAAAAGUUUUGCGUCUCUCCCCCUAAUGGGUCGUACGUAGCUAUAGUAGAGCAUGCAAGGCACGUUUUUCUCUAUGAAAAACCAAUUGGAAACUCACAAAUAGGACAUCAGCGCAUCGUAGAUUUGGGGUGUGAAGCACAAGCCAAUCCUGUUUUGGGUGCUGCAGCUUCAAACCAUUAUCUAUAUCUAUUGACCAAGAAUAAAUUAUACCAAUUGCAGGUGAAUCCUUAGAUGUAUGCAGCUCAAGUUUUAACUUAAUGGUAGUGAAAGUAACAGUUUUCUGUAAAAAUAUACCAAAGGUUGAAAUUUAAAUAACGCAUCUUUUUUGCAUGUUUUUUUAACAUUCCAUGGCAAAGAAACAGGGUAUACGAAAAAUAUUCUUGUUUGACAAGUAAUCUUUGGAUGAUGUUAAAUUUGAAUGUGUCAGGAACAUUGAAAGAAACUCGCGUAAUAUUAAAUAAUAAUUACAAAUUUAUUUUGUAAUAUAAUUGAUUGAGAAAAAUAAAUAUCUUUUUUACUGUACGUGAAAAUAACUGAAACGUAGAAUAACAAUAACAAUUCCUUACAAUUAAAAGCAGCACAGCUAUUUGAAUAUCUUGACCUUUGAAAUUGAGAAUGAUUUGCCAAUAGUUGCUACUAUGCAUCACACAUCAAGUCUCACUCAUUUCAUAGUCAUUUUCA